UGUUCCCUGCGAUGUUGCCAGAUCAUAGAUUCCUUGAACCAAUAUCAAGCAUCUGGUUGUGACUUAAAACGAGUGCUGUUGUGCGUGCCCCUUCGCGGGCGUGCCUGAUGCGCUCCCGUUACGACCCCCUGGUCUCCCAGGUUCAGGAUGCCGAUCUGGCGGCAUUUGCGGGGAACUC
RNAcentral lists this non-coding RNA (178 nucleotides) under Methylobacillus sp. MM3. RNAcentral describes it as "Methylobacillus sp. MM2 6S / SsrS RNA". It matches the Rfam family "6S / SsrS RNA". From Rfam's summary of the family: E. coli 6S RNA was the first non coding RNA to be sequenced, but its function was unknown until recently. It consists of 184 nucleotides that fold into an extended hairpin structure with a large single-stranded internal bulge. Lineage: Bacteria; Pseudomonadati; Pseudomonadota; Betaproteobacteria; Nitrosomonadales; Methylophilaceae. The record is from Rfam by way of RNAcentral. RNAcentral also lists the same sequence under 1 other name.